RNAcentral lists this signal recognition particle RNA (97 nucleotides) under Myxococcales bacterium. RNAcentral's name for it is "signal recognition particle sRNA small type". It matches the Rfam family "Bacterial small signal recognition particle RNA". From Rfam's summary of the family: The signal recognition particle (SRP) is a universally conserved ribonucleoprotein involved in the co-translational targeting of proteins to membranes. Archaeal SRP consists of a 7S RNA and homologues of the eukaryotic SRP19 and SRP54 proteins. RNAcentral also lists the same sequence under 1 other name. The record is from RNAcentral. Lineage: Bacteria; Pseudomonadati; Myxococcota; Myxococcia; Myxococcales.
GUCACGGUCCGAGGGGUCGGUGGCCUCGAAUCGGGUCAGGUCCGGAAGGAAGCAGCCCUAAGAGCUCCUUCCGAUGUCUUCGGGACGCCGUGGCCGU